CUAUAUUUGAGCAGUGAGCAUGAAAUCUGAGCACCUGAUGGAAAUCCAUGCACUCUGGAGGGGAACAUGCAAACUCCCCCAAACGUGCAACACCUGAGGUCAGGAUUGAAUCCAGGUCACUUGAGCAGUGAGUCAACAGACAAACCACUGCCACAGCUUCAAUAAUCGUGUCUUUUGAGAAAUAGUGCCCUUGACACCGACACUGUUUUACAGAAGUGAAGUCUCUUCACACAAUUAAAUAAAGUAUGUAAUUCUGCAAAAGAUGC
Amblyraja radiata (thorny skate) is the source of this 266-nucleotide long non-coding RNA. RefSeq lists it as uncharacterized. The transcript has 3 exons. The record is from RefSeq and is a predicted model, not a curated record. NCBI's taxonomy places the organism in Eukaryota, Metazoa, Chordata, Chondrichthyes, Rajiformes, Rajidae.